Molecule: long non-coding RNA, 6538 nt
Organism: Heterocephalus glaber (naked mole-rat)
Lineage: Eukaryota; Metazoa; Chordata; Mammalia; Rodentia; Bathyergidae
Source: Ensembl
CUUGGAUUUUACUUUGACUUCUUUAAGAAAUUGUCUAAUGGCUGAAUGGCUUGUCCUCCUUCCCUUCUUCCUCCUUCCCUUCUUCCUCCCUCCCUCCCUCCCUUCCUUCCUCCCUUCCUUCCUUCCCCACAAUGUGCCAAGCAGGGAUGCAGACACAGGAGUGAGCAAGGGAGACGUGCAAGUGCUCCUGGACUCUUGUCCUUCAGUGAAAACGGGCAGAGGUAGAGGAGUCCAGGGCACGGUUGGGGAAGAUCAGCAAACAGUGGCGGAAUGCGACCUGAUGCAGAGUCCCCCUACCCACAGUCAGGGACCAGCGAGGGCAGAGGGAAAGCAACCUGAAGCCUGGCAGAGAAGCUGGAGUACAGGGGCUGAGCAGAGACAAGAGAUAGAGUCUUUGGAAGCAACAGCAUUCAAAGGUGGAGAGAGUGGCCUGUUUGACCUCCUCCCCGGGAAAAUUGUGGCUUCUGUGGACGCUUGCUGAAGUAAUGACCACCGUCUGCGGAAUAGCCAGCGUUCUCAAGCUGCCUUCGGGACUUCCCGGAGAGCGUCUCCCUGGAUCUCCCCAGCACUCCAGAGGCGUCUGCCUCAUUUACAUCUGAAGAUGCUGUUGCUCGGGUGACACGUGGCAUGGGGACCCCCUUCCCUCCAGCACUGGAGCGAGUGCCCCUUUCAGCAUAUUCGCUUUAAGCUCUGCAUUAAAUUCUCAAUUUGAACUUGAUCCCAGUUGUUGGGAGCAGCCAGUUUAGCGACGAGAGCCUUUGUUUGCCUCCCAAGCACAAAGAGCUCCUGAAAGGCACGUGGAAAGAUGAACCCCUUUUCAGGACGUGUCUGUUAAGAGUACGACUUUAUAACUGUAGGCCCACACCCGGCGCAGGCUCAAAUGCGUCUUUCUUGGCGAGACAUAUUGGAGACAUAUGGACCGAGCAAUGGAAAGAUCUACGGUGAUCCUCAAGCAGCCAGGGUGGGGGAAGAAGAAGCUCCGGCGUGAGGAGGUGGCGAGGAGCAACAGCAAGCUGUUCGGAUGUGAUGAGAAAGAAAAGUCCUGAACUUCUUUCAGCACUCACCAGCUGUUCCAGAUGUUGGGAUUACACAUGGAGGACCACAUUUUGAGCUAAAAAUAUGUACCGGAGCUUGACUUCAAAUCUCUUCAGCAUCAUAAGUUAUCUUAUUUAUCACCUAGUUAUGUUCUGAAAGUGUUUUUAAGGGGUUUUUAAGGGUGGGGUAACUCGAUACUCAAUUUCUCAUGAAACCUAUUAUGAUUAAUAAUAAAUUUCACUCAUAGGAUUAUAAUUCUGUUAGAGCCUAGUCUUUGUUUUACUUAUAAUGAAAAACAAUAAAAUAUCCUAUUGUUUUUAAAUAUUUAUAAAAAAAGGAAAAUAAGUAAGUUGAGUAACAGGUACUUUCUUUUUUUUUUCGGUACCGGGUAUUGAACUCAGGACCUCGUGCUUGCCAGACAGGAGCGGCACCGCUGAGCUAAAUCCCCAGCCCAAUAACAAGUACUUUAAAGAACAGGGAUUCAAUCCUGCUGUGAAAUAGUCUACAGUCUAUCAUGAAGAAAUCAAAUAAUGGGAUUAAACUAAGUACAUCAGUCAGGUAAUAUGCAUAUCGUGGAGAGACUGCAACAUGAUCGAAAGCACAAAACAGGUCACCAAAAUGAGAAGCAGGCUAUCAAAUUAGUCCAGAUAUAUCUGACAAUGAACUGAAGAGGAUUUCCAAAAAUUAAAAUAAUGUCAUAGAGACAAAAGUUCAGUGGAUAAGAUGAAGUCUAGCUAGAGCUAAAAAGAGCCAGUGAGCAGAUUAAGAGAGAAUUAGUGAAUUGGAAGACUGAUCUAAGGAAAUUAAAAGAACACUGUACAGAAAGACCAGGAGAUGAAAAUAUGUGAAAGAGAAGUUUAGAGCUGUUAGAAGAUCUAGCACAAAAAGAGAUGCUAGGGCAUAAUGGAAUAAUAUUUUUAAAGUGCUGAGGAUAAAUGGUGGUUAAUGAAAAUUCUGUGCUCAUUAACCAGAUUUCAAGAGGCAGCUAAUGUAAAAACAUUUAGAGAUAAAGAAAAAUUGAAUUAGUUUCCCAGUAACAAAAUCCAUUUUUUUGAGCAGUACUGGGAUUUGCACCCGGGGCUUUCACACACCGAGCAAUAUAUAUCUCCAGCCCCUUUUAUUUGUUGUAUUGAGAGAAGGCCUUGAUAAAUUGCUCAGUUGCUGAGGCUGGGCUUCAACUGGCAGUUCUCCUGCCUCAGCCUCCCAGAGUGCUGGGAUUAUAGACAGGGCGAGAGUGUCAGGUUCAGGGUGGAGCACAGCCAGCUGCCCUCACCCUUUGCUGGGCACUGUUCUCCUCAACCUGUUCUCCUCACUGCCUUAGUUUUCCCCCAGUGCUAGGAAUUGAACCCAGGACCUUGCUCAUGUCAAGUGUUUGCUCCAGCUAAGCUGCUCCCCCAGCCACUGUGCUGUCUUUGUGUAACCAAAAUGGAAACAGCUUGACAUCAUACUAAAUGAAACUCUGUACUCCCAGGCGUGGUGGCCUACACAUGUAAUCCCAGCACUUAGGAGGCUGAGGUGGGAGGAUCGUCACAAGGUAGAGGUCAGCCUGGGCUACAGAGAGAAUUUAAGGGCAGCCUGAACUACAUAGUGAGACCCUGUCUCAAUGCCACCUUCCCCAUUAAACCAAUAGAAACAGGAUUUAUAACUUAUGAAGAAGUGAAGGAGAGGAGUAAAUAAAACAUGAAAAAAUUAAUAGGAAGCAGAAGGGAGGAAAAAGAUGUAGUAAAAGAAUUCACGGAAAGCAUAAAAUAAGUGGGUACAAUGAAUAAUUGUAUUACAUUUAUUACAUACUAUCCAGAGAUUAUCAGAAUAGAUAAACAAAUUUUUUUAUAGUAAAAAAGAAAAAUAAGCAGCAGCUGCAUGUUAUUUACAAGGGACAUAUUUAAAAAUGAUUGAAAAUUGAAGGGUAAAAAAAAAGAUGUAUUAGCUAAAAACUAACUCAAAGAAAGCUCGUCUGGUGGGUAUAGUGCUAUGCAUCUGCAAUCCCAGCCCCCAGGAAGCUGAGGUGGGAAAAGUGUAAGUUCAAGUGCAGCCUGGGCAACGUAAUGGUUUAGUGAGACCCUGUAUGAAGAUUAAAAAUAGAAUGAUCUGGGCAUGUAGCUCAGUGCGAAAGUCCUGGAUGUAAUCUCCAUUACUGAAAAAAAACUGCUCUAACUAUAUUAAUAGCAGUAACAUGGGUUCUGUGGAAAAAGCUAUUAUUAAGGCUAAAGAGGAUUUACUACAUUUUGAUAAAAGGAAUAAUCCAGGAAGAAUAUAUAAGAAUAUAACCGUUCUAACCUUGUGAUCACAUAAUAAUGGAGUUUAUAUUUAAACAUCCAAAAAUUGACAUAAUUACCAGGCAAAUCUGACAAACCCACCAUCGUCUCCUGGGUGAUUUCAGUACACCUCUGUUGGUAAUUGGUAGAUCAUGCAAAAUAAAAAUUGGUACAGGCUAUAGUGGAUUUAGGAACACAACUAAAAAGCUUGAUUUCAUUUGCCUGUGGAGAGACUGCUCCUAAGAGAAUAAAUGUGUAUUUGGGAGGAUGCUUCCACCCUUUCUUCAAGAAAUGAAGGAAGGCUAGAAAGAGAUAGAGUCAACAGACGGAAAGGAAGAACUCAGAAAGCGGCAGGAUUUGCCACUUCCUGAGUGUAUGUGUGGGGGAGCAGAAGAGGGGGUUGAUGAUGUCGAUGCCCAGCCAGCUGAGAACAACAAGGGGAGGGCGGGAUUCGAGGACUGUGCAUUCAGGUGGAAACUUGAGUUUCAAGGGCAUUUCAAGGAGGAGGCUGGGCUUCAGCUGCCUGGCCUUGUUCCUGGGGAGUAAUCUUCCAGCAUGUUGGGCCUUCCGGAUACACUUGUUCAAUGAUAACAGUGCUGAUCCAUCCAUGCCUAAUAGGCAUCUAUCUGCCUGUGGAAAUGCUAGCUGAUCAAGCUGGUAAUACUCGAGAGGCUUAUGUUGAAGCAGCUAAUUUUAUUAUCUAUGAAUUUAUCAUAGAUAAUAAUCAAUAAGAAUACUUUUAUUAUCUAUGGGUUAUUAUCGUCUAUGACUUUAAUAGGAAUUGAUUAGGGCACUUAGUAGAUAAGAGGUUUUCCUUUCAAGUGGAUUACAGAAAUAGCUAUUGCUUCUUCAAAGGUGACCUAUAUCAUGAGCCAGAUCAUCAUAAUAGCAGCUAUCAUUCAGAAGACUUGAGAGCUUAUCCAUUACUAUUGUGAUUUUUCGCAGCAAUGGGAUGAUUUAUAUUAUGCCUGUUGUGCAGAUGAGGAAAUCCGAAGGCCCAAUCACACAACACCUCCCUUCUCCUUCUGUGUGCCUUCCUGUAUGACAACCAGUGAAGGACAAAAACUACACUUCUUGGGAGGAUUCUGUCCUCUGGACUGAAGCCUGAAAUCUCCCAGACAAAUUGGUCACAAUUCUCAUCGAUUCCCACGAAUGCAGAAACUAUCAAAAUUCAGAAGCACUGCAUCUCUGGAGAGGAGGGAGUUGCAGCAGGAGAAGCCAUGAGAUCUCUCUUUCUUUUUUAUUGUUUUGUUUUUCGAGAUCUCUCUUUCAUGCUUCCACUCUUCCACUGGGCAUCUCCAUGCUUCACUGUAGAGACCAUGAGGCAGUUUGGCACCGCCUGAAACAUGGGAGGGACAAGUGUUGCUUUCAUUCAGAAGCCCUAAGUCACUGAGCUCUUCUGUGUUCACCAAGAGGAAAAUGCACCUAUGUUUUUUUGAUAUCUCUGACAUGAAAUACAAAUCGUACCAAUUCAGCUUCCAUAUAAUAGUCCUUACAUUUUCUCAUUAUACUUUUCAAAAAUCACAUGUAAUCUCUUUCUGUCUUCUUACCUUGACUAUGUGUUCCUUGAGCAUAAGGACCAUGUCUUUGCAUCUUCAAAAAACUCUCUGUAGCACCUGGCAUUGUGUCUAGCCUAAAAGUAAGUUCAUAAAAAUUUCAGUUUUUCAAAUUUUGUGAGUAAAUAUCAGCAGUGAAAUGUGUAGUACAUAAAAGUCCUUUCACUCAAAGAUGUCUGAAAACACAUGCAUAAAAAUGGGUGAAUGAAUGAAAGAAUGAACAAGCGAAAGGUCUGGGAUGUCAAAGAGGUGAUUGUGUUGGUGACCAAUGAAGAAACCAAUGUCGAUAGUUUUCAGAAACAGUUCCUAGUAGCCCAGCCAGGGGCUUGUCCUCUGGCUUUAACUUUUUCUUGUUAAGAUCUAAUCAUAGGAAUCUGUGGUUAGCAGUAAAGAAUCCCCUUCUAUUCACUCACAUUCAUUUCAAAAAUAUUUAUGGAUUGCCUGUUACGUGUCAGGCACAGUUCUUGGCGCUAGAAGUAAGAAAAAGAUAGAGAACAAACAUCCUUCUUCUCAUUGAGUUUAUGUUGAUGUCUUGUUACUUUCCUCAUUUCUGGGACAAAAUACAUGAAUGACACCCACAGCUUAAAAAAAUGAGAGGUUUAUUUCUCUCAUGUUUCAGAAUUUCAGUCCUAGCAUGGUCCGCUGGCUCCAGGCAGAAGCAGCAUGGGGGAAGGUCCGCUCAGGACAAGAUGGACAGGAAGGAGCUGGAGGUGGGACACAGCCUUCCGGUCACAUCCCCAGGGACCUGUGUUUCUGAUCUUGCCCCUACCUCCCAACAAGUCGGCUACCAACCCUCAUCACCCCAUCACCUUCCAAGCACAUGAGGCUUGGGGGGGCAUUUUAGAUCUAAACCGUAGCAGUAGAGGUUUAAUUUGAGACCAAAAAUUAAUAGUAAAUUCAGUAAGUGACAAAUGUUAGAAGUUACUUAUUCUAGAAAAAGUGGGGCAGGAUCAGGGCUCUGUGGGCUCUGGGAAGAGUGCUGUGCUUGAGUCUUUAACAGUGCACAAAGGACAGACCCUGGGGAGCAGGUGACACUGGGGUGCAUUAGCUGGGGAGGCCCUGGGAGAAGAGAUUUCCUGGAGCAGGGUGAGGGUGGAGGCUCUGCUGAUGCUGGAACAGUUGAGAAAGGGCGGGAAGUGACAGCCAGCCAGGGGAAAGGACCAGGCUGGGUGGAUCUUGUAGGGCCCUGUGGCUUUUUCUCCAGUGGAGAGGAAGCCAUUGGAGGGUUCCGAGUAGAGGACGGUUAUAACCCUGGCAACUUCAGAGGAUCCCUCUGGCUGCCAUGUGAGGAUGGAUGAGAGGUGAGCAAUGGGGGAGAGGAGGGGUAGUUUGAAGGGAUUGAGGUGGUUUUAUUUCAACAAUAGUAGCAAUCCAAUUUAUUGUGAUAAGUGCAAUAAACACAAAACACUAUGAAAACACACAAGAAUAGCACUUGAUUCGGAAAAGGGAGUCAAGAUUUCUAGAGGAAGUGGCUUCCUGGCUGGGAUAUUCAUGAGGGGUGGAAUUGACCAGGUGUGGAAAUGGGCACCAUAGGGGAAGCUGUCACAGGCACGAAGGGAGAGCGAGGUUCUCAUCACAGGACACAAGGGAGACUGAGUCAUUCCUCUGCUGAGAUGAGGAGGGCAGUUCACAAGGGGAACAGAGAACAAGGGCGCAAGGGCCAGAUCAGAAAGGGCUGAUGUUAUUUGCCUG